RNAcentral lists this ribosomal RNA (253 nucleotides) under uncultured bacterium. RNAcentral's name for it is "partial 16S ribosomal RNA". It matches the Rfam family "Bacterial small subunit ribosomal RNA", at positions 524 to 776 of the family's 1533-position model. The record is from RNAcentral.
UACGUAGGGUGCGAGCGUUAAUCGGAAUUACUGGGCGUAAAGCGUGCGCAGGCGGUUCUUCAAGUCCUUUGUGAAAGCCCCGGGCUCAACCUGGGAAUUGCGAUGGAGACUGCAAGGCUUGAAUCUGGCAGAGGGGGGUAGAAUUCCACGUGUAGCAGUGAAAUGCGUAGAGAUGUGGAGGAACACCGAUGGCGAAGGCAGCCCCCUGGGUCAAGAUUGACGCUCAUGCACGAAAGCGUGGGGAGCAAACAGG